UGGAUUAAAGUUACGGCGGUUCAAGAUGGGCAUGCGUGACAUUAGCUAGUUGGUGAGGUAACGGCUCACCAAGGCGACGAUGUCUAGGGGUCCUGAGAGGGUUUCCCCCCACACUGGUACUGAGACACGGACCAGACUCCUACGGGAGGCAGCAGUAAGGAAUAUUGGUCAAUGGACGCAAGUCUGAACCAGCCAUGCCGCGUGCAGGAUGACUGCCCUACGGGUUGUAAACUGCUUUUACGUGAGAAAAAACUCCCCGAUUCGUUCGGGGACUGAUGGUAUCACAUGAAUAAGCAUCGGCUAACUCCGUGCCAGCAGCCGCGGUAAUACGGAGGAUGCAAGCGUUAUCCGGAUUCAUUGGGUUUAAAGGGUGUGCAGGCGGAAUGAUAAGUCAGAGGUGAAAUCCCCCGGCUCAACCGGGGACCUGCCUUUGAUACUGUUGUUCUUGAGUAUAGUUGAAGUGGGCGGAAUGUGUCAUGUAGCGGUGAAAUGCAUAGAUAUGACACAGAACACCGAUAGCGAAGGCAGCUCACUAACCUAUAACUGACGCUCAUGCACGAAAGCGUGGGGAGCAAACAGGAUUAGAUACCCUGGUAGUCCACGCUGUAAACUAUGAUCACUAGUUGUUAGCGAUACACUGUUAGCGACUGAGGGAAACCAUUAAGUGAUCCACCUGGGGAGUACGGCCGCAAGGUUGAAACUCAAAGGAAUUGACGGGGGCCCGCACAAGCGGAGGAGCAUGUGGUUUAAUUCGAUGAUACGCGAGGAACCUUACCUGGGCUUAAAUGCAGGACGACAUCCCGUGAAAACGGGAUUUCUUCGGACGGCCUGCAAGGUGCUGCAUGGUUGUCGUCAGCUCGUGCCGUGAGGUGUCGGGUUAAGUCCCAUAACGAGCGCAACCCCUAUUCUUAGUUGCCAUCAGGUAAUGCUGGGAACUCUAAGGAAACUGCCUACGCAAGUAGUGAGGAAGGUGGGGAUGACGUCAAAUCAGCACGGCCCUUAUGUCCAGGGCGACACACGUGCUACAAUGGCCGAUACAGAGGGGAGCUAACUGGUGACAGUCUGCAAAUCUCGAAAGUCGGUCUCAGUUCGGAUCGGAGUCUGCAAC
RNAcentral lists this ribosomal RNA (1108 nucleotides) under uncultured organism. Its description in RNAcentral is "bacterial SSU rRNA". It matches the Rfam family "Bacterial small subunit ribosomal RNA", at positions 197 to 1311 of the family's 1533-position model. The record is from RNAcentral.